UCCUGAGCUGUUUUCGAUAAUGGAAUUUCCGAAUUGACGAUCCGCUCCGUUAGACUUGAUCUAGCGUAUUUGAAAUUUCUAGAAAAUAAUUUUUACGAUUUUUCGAUAUCAUUUACCUAGCAAUCAAAAUGAUUCAAAAUUAAUAAUUUUUAACAGCUGAAAAUAAAAAUUCUAUAAAAAGUGGUGAUAAAGCACUAAAAUUUUCGAUCAGAAAUAUUGAUCUUGUUGUAGAUAGUAUCAAAAUUUUAUCUGAUUUGAAUACUUCGAUACCGUUAAACUUGAAAACGGUAGAUA
RNAcentral lists this long non-coding RNA (294 nucleotides) under Ananas comosus (pineapple). RNAcentral's name for it is "long non-coding RNA (ACOM_LNC029244)". Lineage: Eukaryota; Viridiplantae; Streptophyta; Magnoliopsida; Poales; Bromeliaceae. The record is from RNAcentral.